This 605-nucleotide ribosomal RNA is filed under the name Buellia schaereri. Its description in RNAcentral is "SSU rRNA". It matches the Rfam family "Bacterial small subunit ribosomal RNA", at positions 417 to 1095 of the family's 1533-position model. The record is from RNAcentral. Lineage: Eukaryota; Fungi; Ascomycota; Lecanoromycetes; Caliciales; Caliciaceae.
UAUGUUAAAUAAAAUUCUAGGUAGAAUUAUGAUGAUGACAUUGUCUAUCUAUAUGUCUUGACCAAAUUACGUGCCAGCAGUCGCGGUAAUACGUAAAAGACUUGUGUUAUUCAUCUUGAAUAGGUUUAAAGGGUACCUAGACGGCCAAUCAAGCUCCUAAAAGAGUACUAAUGGGCUAGAGUUUAAUAUAAGGAAGCAUUAAAGUACUGAUGAUGUGGAGAGAUGAAAUUCUGUGAUACUAUAUAUGGCACUGGUAAAGGCGAAAGCAUCUUAUUAUGUAAAAACUGACGUUGAGGGACGAAGGCUGUGUGUAGCCAAAAGGAUUAGAUACCCAAGUAGUCUCAGCAGAAAAUGAUGAAUGUCAUAGGAUAGAUAAAUUUUGUACUAUAAAUGAAAGUGUAAGCAUUCCACCUUAAGAGUAAUUUGGCAACAUUGGAACUGAAAUCAUUAGACCGUUUCUGAAACAAGUAGUGAAGUAUGUUGUUUAAUUUGAUGGUCCGCAAAAAACCUUACCACAGUUUAUUUGAAUAUAGAAUUAUUUAUACAAGCGCUGCACGGUUGUCUUCAGUUAAUGUCGUGAGAUUCUGGUUAGUUCCAUUAAAUUA